UUUAUUGGAGAGUUUGAUCCUGGCUCAGGACGAACGCUGGCGGCGUGCUUAACACAUGCAAGUCGAACGAGGCAGAUUUUCAACACUGAGUACUUGAUAAAGUCACUUCAAGCGUCAUUGCGACGAAGUCGCAAUUCCACUUUUAUAAAGUGCUUAACUAAAGAUCGAGUAUUGAGUGUUGAAAAGAUGCCGAGUGGCAAACGGGUGAGUAACGCGUAGAUAACCUGCCGCAAAGAUGGGGACAACAGUCCGAAAGGACUGCUAAUACCGAAUGUUGUAUUGUUUCCGCAUGGAGAUGAUAUUAAAGAUGGCCUCUACUUGUAAGCUAUCGCUUUGUGAUGGGUCUGCGUCUGAUUAGCUAG
This 362-nucleotide ribosomal RNA is filed under the name Pseudoselenomonas ruminantium. RNAcentral's name for it is "bacterial SSU rRNA". It matches the Rfam family "Bacterial small subunit ribosomal RNA", at positions 1 to 248 of the family's 1533-position model. Lineage: Bacteria; Bacillati; Bacillota; Negativicutes; Selenomonadales; Selenomonadaceae. The record is from RNAcentral.